AGGGAGGAAGCAAGCCACCCCACCCCAGCACCCCAAAGCCUCAGAGCAAGCACAGGCUCCUCGCACCCGCUCACCGACCCCGCGGCACGAACCCCGCGGCCGUUUUUCACCCGGAGAACGAUCCGGAUUAGGAACCGAAUUGUCCCCAGUACAGAAAAAGUACUCAAAACACCCUGGAUGCCACGACGCCCACCAAGAGGCAGGUCUGGCAGUUUCCGAGCCGCGGGACAUUCCCCGCGCAGGAUCCGCGCAUCCCCCGCGCCAAGGGGUGAUGUGGAGCCGGUCCUGCCCCGCGGGGACCGCGGCAGAGGACGCCUGUCAGCAGGGCGAGGUGGUCUCUGAACACCCACGCCCACCCAAACCCCGAGGCGAGGGCUCCCGCCAAAGCCUCCAUCUCCAUCUUAAUAAACGAGGGCGAGAGGGCUGCAGGGAGGCGACCAGCUUGGCGUGGCAAGUCUUCCUGGCACGGGAUCCUUAAGAAGCCUGCAGCCCGUUUGCCUUGAUGAUGAUUUAUGAAAGCCUUCCACCUUUCAUAACAACGAGCCCGAAACACAAAGUUACUUCGGGACAAGCGAGGAAGCGCGUUAAAAGUUUCUUUGGCAAACUAACCCUUACCCACCCAGCUACGCAGCGUCUCGAAGGAGCCUGCAAACCGCCUGCCCUUUCUGUAACCCGCACCCAGCCGCUUCCCUUUCUCCCAGAGCCGAAAUAAAACCCGGGCUCCUUCCAUCCUGCGGUCGGCUGCCGUUUUUAACGUGGGGAUAAACAGGUAUCGAGACCCCCUCUAGCGGCAGAGACGCCGGUAGCAGUGAUCCCACCGGCAUCCCACAUCCCGCGUGGGAUCCCAGCCUUGGGGAGAGCCCAGCUGCUUUUCCAGGUUUUAUUUCCUAGCGCUGGCUUGCUCCAUAUGAGAAGGAACAGGCUUUAAACCAAGUUUUAGCGCUAACUCUUAUUAAUCUGCAAAUUGCCAAGUGACAUACUUAAAAACAGGACAGGCGUGUCGCUGCGUUCUGGACUUCGGCCGAAUGUUUCCUGUCCUGCGUUUUAGAGAUUGAGUGCUAGAAGCAAAAGGAGAAAGGUAGAGAGUUUUUUUAUCUUCCGUAUUAGGUCGUAAAACCAGGCUGAUACCUGGGAUGUAGGAAAAUACAGUAGUAAUAUAGUAAACGUCAUGAUUGUAACAAUAAAUUUUCCGCUUGCAGAGUAAACGAUGUGUUGAUUUUUGCUUGUCUUCAACGUCUUUGAGUCUUUUCUGCUUCUCCUGCUCUAUCUUUUUUUCUAGUAUUUGUUUCCUUGUAGUCUGUUAUAUGUCUUCAUUUUCCGCUACAUAAUCUAGCGCUGUCUUGCCCUCAUGUCUUUCCAGCAACUGUUGGAAAAAUGUGUCAUAUGAGCUGUAAAAUACAGCACCAAAUCUGCAGGGGAAGAGGUAAGUAAUCUGAAAGAGAGAAAAAAAAACCCUCAGUCUUCUGAGAUUUUGCAGAGAGAAAAGAAUUUUCAUAAUUAAUUUUAAAUUAUCUUUCCAGCUAUAGAUCUGGAUAAAGCAAGAGAGGAAUUUCUGCAGAAAAUGACUGCUCCACAUGUUCUAGUAAUUGCAGUUUAAGUAUUUUCUGUCCAAAGUUAGUGAGUCUGGAUGUGUCUGUUUAUGAAUGAGUGCUUUUGAAGGACAGGCAACUGUUGAUAAUUUUGUGAUAACAGCAGGUAUGAUUGUGUAAUCUCAAUUUCCACAACACUGAAAGGUAAAUUAAUAAAGUUAAGUGAUAUGUGCUGUAGAUUAAAAGAAACUUUUCCACAAUUCAUGCAGAAUGGCCUUUUUCUUGUCACUAACCAAGAACAUAAAAGCCAUUAAAUUAGAGGGAAAAUUACUAGAUCAAAGGGGAAGCAAAGUUAAAAGAAACAAGAGUAGCCUUGUUAUGUGUUAAAAGUGCAAAGUGAAGACAAUGCAAUCAAAAUUCAAUUCUGCUUUAUAGAAUCUGUGAACAGAUUCUGUCCUGGUCUAAUUUGUGCAAAGCCUGGAUUUAUCCAUUCCUAAUAGUGAAAAUACUUGGGUAACAAAAAUAAACUUUAAAUUGUGAGCUAGAUGCUCUCUUUGAUAUAAAGUGUUCCUGGGCUUUCCACAUGUUUAUGUUUCAUAUAAACCUGAUAAAAAUCUUCCACUUUACAUUCCCUAUGACUCUAAAUGUAGUGCCUGCCUGCAUAAUAUCUGCACUUUUAUGAGAAAUUCCAGCUUCCAAAAGUUUUACAGAUCUCAGAAAAAUUGCAUUUCCCUAUGUUUGACCUUAGAAAUGCCCCAUGGAUGGACACCACCAUUGAUAUUCACAUUUCCUUGCAUAGGAAAAAUACUGAACUGUAUGCUUUAUAUUACGUAUGAGAAAACUGUGACAGUUUUCAUUCUUGGGGAAAAUUCUUAGAAGAUUUCCUUGCUUUUAGAUUGGUUCAAUGCAGUUUUUACAGAGUUUCGAUGUUUGGGUGUUGGGAUGAGGUUUCACAAUAUUUGAAAUAACUUUAAACUCACUGCACAAGAGGCCAUUGUAUUCCAAAAGUUAAUAGAUGUGGGAAGCCCAAAGUAAUAGUCGGAAGACUAAAGGAACCCAAAAGCAUUUUUGCUUGUUUCUGCAGAGGUCCAUGAAAAUAUCUAAAAAAAUUUCUCCAAACUUUCAGUGUAUUAGGUUAUUUCAUACUGUCGUACUUUGAUGUGGUAGGAUUCCUAUUCAAGCUAGAGCUUACACACAUUUUGCUCUCAAAUAACCGAAAAAAUAUUAGAUGCCACCUAGUUACAGCAAAUAAUAAAUCUUACAGCAGAAAGUCUAUUGAACCUGGAAGAAAACUAAGUGACAUUACCUAGGAACUCUGUAGUCCUGAGUCUGUUGACGUGCAUGUACCUGCAUUGUCACAUUAACUCAGGUGGCACGACGUAUUUUGGUGAAAUUACAGGUUUGAGCAGGAUGAGGACCUGCAUUUGGAGAGCCAGUGGUGCAAACCAUUGUGACUUUGAUUGCUCCAGACAUGUCUAUGCUGCCUUCGCGUGAGGCAGUGACCUCCAGACUGGCCUUGGCUUCCCAGCCAACUGAAUCAGUGGUCAAAUGUGGAGACUUUGGAUGUUUCUUUGGAGCACCAUACCAUUCAGCUAUGUAAUGCGAUUUCCUAAAGGCCUACUAGUAUUAAGCAUCCUAGAUUCCAGAUGAAGGCAUUUCUUUUCUCUUCUCUGUGGUUCUACCUAAGAGGUAAAAUCAACAUAUGACUCCACAUUUGUCCCUUAAUGUUUGGACUGAAACUUUGCCUCUGCUGAAGGCAGUAAUGGUUUUUCUCACUGACUUCAAAGAGGCUGGUAUUUCACCCUUCAUUUCCCUGCUGGAUACUGCUUUUCCCUUUAAGCUACCGUGUGUCAUAAAAAGCGAUGUGCUGUGGAAAGUGUAAAACACAGCAGUAGAAGUUGUGAUGCCACAACUCAAUGUCAAUGUAUGAUUUUAUGUAGUAGUAA
Molecule: long non-coding RNA, 3475 nt
Organism: Cuculus canorus (common cuckoo)
Lineage: Eukaryota; Metazoa; Chordata; Aves; Cuculiformes; Cuculidae
Exons: 3
Source: RefSeq, a predicted model, not a curated record